Molecule: non-coding RNA, 659 nt
Organism: Equus caballus (horse)
Lineage: Eukaryota; Metazoa; Chordata; Mammalia; Perissodactyla; Equidae
Source: RefSeq, a predicted model, not a curated record
CCUGGCAGCUCCACCCUCGGCCUUCACGGCCCUCACCAGGCAGCCCUCUGCCUGCCUCUCUGGUUUCAUGUCACAUACCUCCUCCUAAUUGUUGCUGCCAUCAUGCGGGGGGAUUCUGGGCAUAACUCUCCAUCUGUAGGUGUUUGGGACGAUCCCUUGAACUAUUAGCUCCUGAUUCUGCCGGGUCAGGCAGGCCCUCAGCCUGCCCCCUUAUCUUUCUCUCCAAGAGGCCCUCGGAAGAGGAAGGCAGCUGAUCUUUAGGAGAAUAACGAAAGGGUCAGAAGACCUUCCAUCUUGCUUGAAGGGAAAUACGUGAAGCCUGAAGAAACUCGAAAGCACAUGCCUGCUCCCUUACCUCUCCUCCAUCCUGGGACCACAGGCCCAGCACCGCCAGGACUGCUAGAGUCUCACCUCCAAGCAGAGGGUUGAAAGCACUGAGUUAUUUCAAGAGGAUCUGAAGAUGGAGAAACAGCAACGCGGGUGCUCAUGCCAUCAUCCUGAACCAGACUCCUCCCCUUGGUUUUUAGUCCUCCAAUGCACGCUGCAGUGUCUAAGUAUCUUCUUCUUUCCUUCUAAUUCUGGAUGCCUUGAGAUUGCUUCCCUAUCCAUCACCUUUAAUUCUCCCUCUUGUUACCAAUAAAAUCAGGAAUGGCAUCUGC